GACGAACGCUGGCGGCGUGCUUAACACAUGCAAGUCGAACGGAAAGGCCCUGCUUUUGUGGGGUGCUCGAGUGGCGAACGGGUGAGUAACACGUGAGUAACCUGCCCUUGACUUUGGGAUAACUUCAGGAAACUGGGGCUAAUACCGGAUAGGAGCUCCUGCUGCAUGGUGGGGGUUGGAAAGUUUCGGCGGUUGGGGAUGGACUCGCGGCUUAUCAGCUUGUUGGUGGGGUAGUGGCUUACCCAGGCUUUGACGGGUAGCCGGCCUGAGAGGGUGACCGGCCACAUUGGGACUGAGAUACGGCCCAGACUCCUACGGGAGGCAGCAGUGGGGAAUAUUGCACAAGGGGCGGAAGCCUGAUGCAGCAACGCCGCGUGCGGGAUGACGGCCUUCGGGUUGUAAACCGCUUUCGCCUGUGACGAAGCGUGAGUGACGGUAAUGGGUAAAGAAGCACCGGCUAACUACGUG
This 468-nucleotide ribosomal RNA is filed under the name uncultured bacterium. Its description in RNAcentral is "partial 16S ribosomal RNA". It matches the Rfam family "Bacterial small subunit ribosomal RNA", at positions 28 to 507 of the family's 1533-position model. The record is from RNAcentral.